GUGAGGAAUAUUGGUCAAUGGGCGGGAGCCUGAACCAGCCAAGUCGCGUGAAGGAAGAAGGAUCUAUGGUUCGUAAACUUCUUUUGCAGGGGAAUAAAGUGCAGGACGUGUCCUGUUUUGUAUGUACCCUGAGAAUAAGGAUCGGCUAACUCCGUGCCAGCAGCCGCGGUAAUACGGAGGAUCCGAGCGUUAUCCGGAUUUAUUGGGUUUAAAGGGUGCGUAGGUGGUUUGAUAAGUCAGCGGUGAAAGUUUGCAGCUUAACUGUAAAAAUGCCGUUGAAACUGUCGGACUUGAGUGUAAAUGAGGUAGGCGGAAUGCGUGGUGUAGCGGUGAAAUGCAUAGAUAUCACGCAGAACUCCGAUUGCGAAGGCAGCUUACUAAGCUACAACUGACACUGAAGCACGAAAGCGUGGGGAUCAAACAGGAUUAGAUACCCGGGUAGUCC
RNAcentral lists this ribosomal RNA (445 nucleotides) under uncultured bacterium. Its description in RNAcentral is "bacterial SSU rRNA". It matches the Rfam family "Bacterial small subunit ribosomal RNA", at positions 354 to 796 of the family's 1533-position model. The record is from RNAcentral.